RNAcentral lists this non-coding RNA (65 nucleotides) under Streptomyces sp. CB02923. RNAcentral's name for it is "Streptomyces RNA 2736". It matches the Rfam family "Streptomyces RNA 2736". Rfam says of the family: Identified by deep sequencing of transcriptome at the end of exponential growth phase. Appears smaller on northern blot than sequencing transcript. The record is from Rfam by way of RNAcentral. Lineage: Bacteria; Bacillati; Actinomycetota; Actinomycetes; Kitasatosporales; Streptomycetaceae.
CGCCCGGACGGAUCCCGUGGGGGGAAUCCGACCCGGGGAACAAGGGAAGCGCCCCGCGCUCCGGA